This 71-nucleotide transfer RNA is filed under the name Candidatus Woesearchaeota archaeon. RNAcentral describes it as "tRNA-His". It matches the Rfam family "tRNA". Rfam says of the family: Transfer RNA (tRNA) molecules are approximately 80 nucleotides in length. Their secondary structure includes four short double-helical elements and three loops (D, anti-codon, and T loops). Further hydrogen bonds mediate the characteristic L-shaped molecular structure. tRNAs have two regions of fundamental functional importance: the anti-codon, which is responsible for specific mRNA codon recognition, and the 3' end, to which the tRNAs corresponding amino acid is attached (by aminoacyl-tRNA synthetases). tRNAs cope with the degeneracy of the genetic code in two manners: having more than one tRNA (with a specific anti-codon) for a particular amino acid; and 'wobble' base-pairing, i.e. permitting non-standard base-pairing at the 3rd anti-codon position. The record is from RNAcentral. Lineage: Archaea; Nanobdellati; Candidatus Woesearchaeota.
GCGAUAGUAGUUUAAUGGCAGAAUAGGGGACUGUGGAUCCUCUGGCGGGAGUUCGAUUCUCCCCUAUCGCC